CUACGGGCCGCACCAGCCGAGAAUAUUCGACAAUGGGCGAAAGCCUGAUCGAGCGACGCCGCGUGCAGGAGGAAGUCCUUCGGGACGUAAACUGCUUUUUUGGGGGAGGAACUAAAGUGACUGCACCCCAAGAAUAAGGGCUUGCCAACCUCGUGCCAGCAGCCGCGGUAAUACGAGGGGCCCAAGCGUUAUCCGGAUUUAGUGGGCGUAAAGGGUGGGUAGGGGGUUCGGUGCGUCUUUUGUUAAAGCUCCGCGCUUAACGCGGAAAAUGCGGAAGAUACGGCCGAGCUUGGGGAUGCCAGAGGCAUAGGGAACUCUAGGUGUAGGGGUGAAAUCCGUUGAUAUCUAGAGGAACACCGAAGGCGAAGGCACUAUGCUGGGGCAUUUCUGACCCUGAAACACGAAAGCGUGGGGAUCAAAAAGGAUUAGAUACCCCCGUAGUC
RNAcentral lists this ribosomal RNA (443 nucleotides) under uncultured bacterium. Its description in RNAcentral is "partial 16S ribosomal RNA". It matches the Rfam family "Bacterial small subunit ribosomal RNA", at positions 339 to 795 of the family's 1533-position model. The record is from RNAcentral.